Molecule: ribosomal RNA, 434 nt
Filed under: uncultured bacterium
Lineage: Bacteria
Description: partial 16S ribosomal RNA
Rfam family: Bacterial small subunit ribosomal RNA
Source: RNAcentral
AGCGAACGCUGGCGGCAGGCCUAACACAUGCAAGUCGAACGAACCUUUCGGGGUUAGUGGCGGACGGGUGAGUAACACGUGGGAACGUGCCUUUAGGUUCGGAAUAACUCAGGGAAACUUGUGCUAAUACCGAAUGUGCCCUUCGGGGGAAAGAUCUAUCGCCUUUAGAGCGGCCCGCGUCUGAUUAGCUAGUUGGUUGAGGUAAUGGCUCACCAAGGCGACGAUCAGUAGCUGGUCUGAGAGGAUGAUCAGCCACAUUGGGACUGAGACACGGCCCAAACUCCUACGGGAAGCAGCAGUGGGGAAUCUUGCGCAAUGGGCGAAAGCCUGACGCAGCCAUGCCGCGUGAAUGAUGAAGGUCUUAGGAUUGUAAAAUUCUUUCACCGGGGACGAUAAUGACGGUACCCGGAGAAGAAGCCCCGGCUAACUUCGUG